Molecule: long non-coding RNA, 4335 nt
Organism: Salarias fasciatus (jewelled blenny)
Lineage: Eukaryota; Metazoa; Chordata; Actinopteri; Blenniiformes; Blenniidae
Exons: 3
Source: RefSeq, a predicted model, not a curated record
AUGGAUCUAAAUAACUUCUGAAGGACUCCGAGCUGCACGAUGUUAGUCUGAGUGAGUAUAUGAGCAUGCCCACACGUAGAAAUAAGGUCCAGGUGUCAAAAACAGACACUCAAGUAUUUAGCAUUGAUUGCUUCUGUGAUUCAGUCUUUUUUGUUUUUAGGCAUCAGAUUGCAUGUUGGUGGAAGUACAUAUUUGAAUUUACCUUUCUUUUUCAGAAACGCGGUGACAUGAGCAGGUCCUGAAGCCGGAAUACGAACGUUCAUGGAUCUGGUGAUGGUGGUAUAAGCAGGGAUUUCCAGACUUCCCUGUCCCCACACACUUUGCCCAGCUCUUCAGAACGGAUCCUGACGCAUUCCCAGGCCAGCUAAGAGAGCAGCAGGUCUACACCCAACUCCUUCCUGGUAACUGAGCUCCUCACCCUGUCUUUAAGGAAUGGUAAAUGGGUAAGAAGAACACAGCAGAGUAGGUCCCAUUGAGAUGAUCCACCACUUGACCUGCCACACCUGCUUGAAGAGCCCGGUUGUGCAGCCGAGCCAGGAAGAAAUCUCCCCCAUGAUUCUUCGGAUGACCCUUAAAGUCAAACAUCUUGAUCAUGACCUCCAGCUGAUCCCCCACGAGCCACGAUCCACCUCCUGGCCUUGGGAGAAUGACAAAUUUGCUGCGGGCUGCAUUGCUGGUGCCUUCCAGGGAAACAGGAGCUGGCACAGAUGGAGUAUUUGGCCAAGCUAUGGAAUCUAAAAGGAUGUUUUCCUCAUGGAUCUCUUUGGGAGACAACCAUCGGAAGGUGCAGGAGUUCUGAUUUGAGCCUGGAUCACUGGAGACACUCAUGUUCUUGAAUGGAGGCUUCGGUGUUUUCUGAAACUGGCAGAACCAAAGUGGGUAUUCUCAGUUAAUUGAGGUUUUUCCCUUUCUGCUUGAUUUAUGCACAUUUUAUCCAAUGGUGUUGCUCUUAGAUUCAGUAAUAUCACAGUGCAACAUAUCAAACAGGAUCCUCAGUGCUUACUCAGUUCUCACCUCCAGAAAGUUGAUGUGAUAAAAUAUGUAGACAAACGAGCUCAAGAACAGAAGGAUGAUGCCAGACUUCAAAAAUCCUUUCCAAGCUGUGUCCAUGAUGGAUCGUAUUUUCCUAGUUCAUCUGAUGAAAAGAAAAGAACAAAUUUAAAGAAGACAAAACAUGGGUGUACAAGGUGAAAAUGAAAAGAAAAAAGUAAAAUAUAUUUCAGAAAAGAAAGGGAACAGCUUCAACUGAUUCCACAUGAUUUUCUUUUGAAAUACAGUGCAGACCAAUGUGUUUAGUACAGUUGAGGUAGGUCACUCACCUGUAACUACCUUUGUGGUUUCAUGCUCGUUUUUAAUUUGAAUGGAAAAAAAUCCAACUGAAAAACCUGUUCUCAUACAAAUGAGUUUCUCACUACUUCUGAUUACUUCAUUGAGUCAAGAUGUAGCAUGAUUUCACUCUUCUUCAUUUUUUGAUACUGCUAAAAUAAUUCACAAUAAUUCACUUAAAAAGAUGUGUUUUUUGAAGUGUCAGAUAACAAUUAACAAUCCUCGAAAAAGCAAAACAUACAACUUGAAUCAACAAAAUGAGAGUUCAUGCAUUCAUGGUUUUUUAUUAUUAAUAUUAGGUUGUUAAUAUUAGUUUUUUUAUUAUUAAUAUUAGGUUGUGUGUGUGUGUGUGUGUGUGUGUGCGCACGGAUGCUGCAAGGUUGAGUUUGGGUGUAUGUAUGUAUAUAUAUGUAUAGGUAUUUGUAUAUGUGUAUGUGUAUGUGUAUGUGUAUGUGUAUGUGUAUGGGCAUAUAUAUGUACAUAGGAAUGUACAUACACAUUCUUGUUUUUAUUUUUUUUUUAUCUUGUUUUUUGAUAGUUUCGUUGGCACUUAGUGUGGGGACUCAACGUGCAAUUUCGUUGUAGGGCUGCAACUAUUACUCGAGUCACUCGAGUACAAAAAAUGAUUGAGGCAAAUUUUAUACCUCGAGGCUUCGUUUAAUUAACAUCACGUGGCGAUGAGGUGUGCGCACACGUUUGUGUGUGAGGGAGAGAGAGAGAGAGAGAGAUGUGGUGUGUGUGUGUCACCCAGAUUGUUGUGACUGACAGACAUAUCCAAGCGAUGCCGGACCGGGUACUGACACCUGUCCCGUCACAAAUUUCUUUCUGCUGAGGUCCACGCGGAUCGAUCUGCGUGUGAACGCGUUGCGUGUACGUGCCGGUCGCGCCGGUAUACACUUGCGUCAGAGCGCCACAGCAAACAAACCGUGCAGUAAAGUGACUCCGAAGCCAUCAGGCUCUUGCUCCGUCGACAGAAACUUCCAGAGAAUGGAAAACUGGUGGACGGAGAGAGCAGCCUCUGUCGGGAGGGACGAGAAGGUCUGCUGAUAGAAAUGAAAGUGAAAGUGCAAUCGCUCGGGUGCUGCCCCACGAUUCAGAAACAGAAAAGGCUAAAUAAACUCUAAUACUAAAUGAUAAUAGACUAACAAUGUAUGAGCUUCAUUUUCUAUAAAUAUUCUGUAAUAAAAGAGCAGAUAAACAGUCUGGAGCAACAGAAAAGCUCCCCAAGGAUGCGUGGAUCAGUGUGCAUGCGUGGAAUGUGCACCACGUGACCCAAAAUGUAGAGUACUGGAGUACUGGAAAUAAUCAACAGAGUACUCGAUUCCAAAAAUACUCGAUAGUUGCAGCUCUAUUUCGUUGUACUCGUUACAAUGACAAUAAAGACAAUCUAUUCUAUUCUAUUCUAUUCUAUUCUAUUCUAUUCUAUUCUAUUCUCAGACCAAGCUGAUUUAAAGAGUUUCCAAUGAUCAGACAUGACUCUGUUUAGCUAAAUUUAACUCAGUUUAGCGUCAUUUAUCAUCUGAUUCAAUGCAGUCCCUGCCUUCUGUGCCCUAGCGCGUGGAGCUGGGACCACAACCCAGAAGUCCUGCCAGGCUUCGUUGGUGGGCUUUGUUGUUGAAUUCAACAUAAAACACUCUCUUUAAGGCCCUUCAAAGGCUUCCCUCCUGUUAACAAAACCUGCAGUCUGCCAGGCUCCAUGAAGACCUGCAGACCGUCCGUCAUCUGCCUCAGUCUGUCUGUCCUCUUAGCAUGAAAACAAGUUCCAGGAGUGAUUCUACAAGAGAAGCCUCAUCCCAAAAUGAGCAAACAAUGCACCCUGCAACCUCAUCACAUUUGAAUGCAACUCCACAGAAAAAACAAGCCCAAAUGUGUUGAGAAUAUCUUGACCUUGAAACAUCAUCCACACCUAAUGCUCAGUUACCUCGUUGUUCGGAUCAGUAAACAUAAAACACACCUAUACAGGUAGAUAAAAACUAAAGCCCCGCCAUCAUUAACAGCAUAUCUGGCAUUUAGAGAAGGAUAAUAAACAUCUCUGUGUUACAUACAAAUAUCAAUAGUAUGAGCAGUUUUUAACUUAAUAGAAACUCUAAACCACAAGAACACAAAAUACAUACAGUCCCAAUUAAAAUCAACAGUUCAUUUCAAGAUCUAUGAAGUGGGAAAAGAAUGCAGUGUGUGUUACCUUGGCUGAACGUAGUGGAAAACAAAACAAUGAAAUCCAAGGGUUUAUGGUGCUGAUUGAAUUUGAAGUUCAGGUGAAACAAGCCAGAUGUAGAAAUGGAGGCAGACACAGGAAGCAGGGCCGCAGGAGCCACCCUAUGUCAUUAAAGUCCUCCUCUUAGAGAUAAAGGAGAUGAUCAAGAACUCCCAGGCAUAUAAAUAUAAAAUACAAAAUACAGUUGUUGUAAAAGCUCAUGUUCAACAGUUUAAUUUGUCCCACAUAUCAACCUCUAUAUUUAUUCUCAUGUAUGAUAUGAUUGUUGUUGAUCAUAUUUUAAACGUUGAUUGCUACAUCAUGCUUCGGUCUUAUCUGAUCAUGUUCACAUGGGUUCAUGAUGAGAACAAACCUGAUAACAUCAGAUAUGUUACACUAAACACAGAGGUCAUCAAAGGUCAAAAAAGAGUAAGUGAAAGUAUAAAUUGAUUAAAUCUUUCUUCUGUGCAGUCAGCCUGUUUGCAUCCUGUGAUUUUUUUUCUCACCCAGAUAACUGAUAGAUUUACUCCAGCUGUGCAGGAGAGCCCUCUUGUGGCUGGUACCCUUUAAUGAAGAACUGACAAGGCAGGAGUUUAAUUUGUUUAUGAGCAGUUCUCCACAGUUGCCCUGUUGCUUGCUGCACAUUCAGAUAUGUUGCACUGUAGGGAUGUAGGGAGGCUGAUGCGACUGCAGUCACUGCACAUUUCUUGGCAAUUCUGAAUCCAGAGCUGAAGCUCCCGACAGCAUCACUCCAGUUCACAUUCACACAAUGUUCUCCACCACCUCAAGGUGGCAAUCCAUGGACAUCCGAAACC